RNAcentral lists this ribosomal RNA (393 nucleotides) under uncultured archaeon. Its description in RNAcentral is "bacterial SSU rRNA". It matches the Rfam family "Archaeal small subunit ribosomal RNA", at positions 85 to 480 of the family's 1478-position model. The record is from RNAcentral.
ACUGCUCAGUAACACGUGGACAACCUGCCCUUAGGACGGGGAUAAACCCGGGAAACUGGGUAUAAUACCCGAUAGGUCUCGAUUGCUGGAAUGCAUCGAGAUUUAAAGCUCCGGCGCCUAAGGAUGGGUCUGCGGCCUAUCAGGUAGUAGUGGGUGUAGCGUACCUACUAGCCUACGACGGGUACGGGUUGUGAGAGCAAGAGCCCGGAGAUGGAUUCUGAGACACGAAUCCAGGCCCUACGGGGUGCAGCAGGCGCGAAAACUUUACAAUGCUGGCAACAGCGAUAAGGGAACCUCGAGUGCCAGGUUACAAAUCUGGCUGUCGAGAUGCCUAAAAAGCAUUUCAUAGCAAGGGCCGGGCAAGACCGGUGCCAGCAGCCGCGGUAAUACGAU